RNAcentral lists this long non-coding RNA (503 nucleotides) under Glycine max (soybean). RNAcentral's name for it is "long non-coding RNA (GMAX_LNC003386)". Lineage: Eukaryota; Viridiplantae; Streptophyta; Magnoliopsida; Fabales; Fabaceae. The record is from RNAcentral.
GUCACCAUCCCCCAUCUCUCUAGAACCUUCACCUUCUGACUCACCAUCACCUUCACCCUCUAAGUCACCAUUGUCAUCACUGCCACCACCCCCAGCCUCACCAGCAGCUUCGCCUUCUGACUCACCAUCCCCGGUCUCAUCACCAUCUCCACCAUCUAACUCACCAUCACCAUUAUCGCCACCAUCCCCUGUCUCACCAGCACCUGCACCCUCUAACUCACCAUCCCCAUCACCUCCACCACCCUCGAUAUCACCAGCACCUUCACUCUCUAACACACCACCACCACCACCACCACCUCCAGUUUCAUCACCACCACCACCACUGGUUUCAUCACCACCGCCACCACCACCUCCAGUUUCACCACCACCACCACCACUGGUUUCAUCACCACCGCCACCACCACCUCCAGUUUCACCACCACCUAGAAACUGUCCCAAUCUGCGCUUUUGCACCAAUAUUUUGGGCGGGAUAAAUAUUCCUGGGUUUCCAGCAACAACCAGGG